AAACAAAUCUAAUAGUAGCAGCGACGC
RNAcentral lists this non-coding RNA (27 nucleotides) under Trypanosoma brucei brucei. The record is from RNAcentral. Lineage: Eukaryota; Euglenozoa; Kinetoplastea; Trypanosomatida; Trypanosomatidae.